Long non-coding RNA from Hemiscyllium ocellatum (epaulette shark), 5457 nucleotides. RefSeq lists it as uncharacterized. The transcript is spliced from 3 exons. The record is from RefSeq and is a predicted model, not a curated record. NCBI's taxonomy places the organism in Eukaryota, Metazoa, Chordata, Chondrichthyes, Orectolobiformes, Hemiscylliidae.
ACUUUUCAGCGUCUGGCAACAAAUGGCCACAAACCGAUCAAAGGUGAAAGUGACAGUGAACCAGACAGAGCAGUCAGUGGCUGCAUAAAGCAGGACAGCGUGGAUAUUACACACGGGACGGAGUACAGGAAAUAAAACUGUUCCUUAUAAACAAUGGGAAUGUGUCUCAGGAUCAGGUCGAGGAUAAUGACCAGGAGAUCCGCCGCUGCCAUGGCCCCCAGAAUUGGCUGGCCAACAGAAGACAGCGAGUGGUAGUGGAAGGAAAAUAUUCUGCCUGGAAGUCACUGAAUCCCUGCAGUGUGGAAACAAACCCUUCGGUCCAACAAGUCCAUACCAACCUUCCAAAGAGUAACCUUCCCAUGCCCUGACAGUUACCACUGACUACGGCACCUAAAGUAGAAAUCACUGAACACUGUGGGCUAUUUGACCAAUCCACUUGAACUAUACAGCUUUGGACUAUGGGAGGAAACGGGAGCACACAUCAGAAGCUCCCACAGACAAGGGGAGAAGAUGCAGACUCCAUGCAGAUCGUCUCGCGAGGCUGGAAUUGAACUCAUGCCCCUGAUGCUGUGAGGCAACAGUGCGAACUAUGAGCCACUGUGCUAUCCUGGGACCUCCUGCCAGCCUAAUGCAAUGGGAAUUCAGCCAAAUCCAACUCUCCUAGAAUAAAAUCCCAUUGCUAGCAGCUGUGUGAGUACAAUGUCUUCAGAAGCAGAAUAACACUUUGAACAAUCUCUCAAUUUUUCCUUUUGUCAUGAGUUACACUAAUAUUUGGACAAGGUUCUUUCAACAUGAAAUUGCAGAGUGUGUGUGUGUGUGUAUGUCAGUGUUUUUAGAAAGGGAAAUAUCGAUUCUUUAUUUGCAAUACCCAAACAGUUUAUCAUUCAUCUUUCCAUCAUAGUUUGAGUGACAUUGCUCUGGAUCAUAAACGUCUUGUUUGAGCAGAUUAAAGAAACUAGCAUGAUUUGUUCCUAAAACUGACCCCGACCCAGUCUGAGACAGAUAUCAUCAGCUACAUCACCGACUUGGUUACAUUUAACAUUUGUUGUGAGCAGUGGAGGGGUGGGACUAGAAAAGGAAACAGAGACACAAAACAUCGGGGAACUAUAGACCCGGGAGCCUGAUGUCAGUGGUUGUUAAGUUGUUGGAGGGGAUUCUGAGGGAUAGGAUUUAGAUACAUUUCGGAAGGCAAGGGCUGAUUAGGGUAGACAACGUGGCUUUCUGCAUGGGAAAUCAUGGGUCAUUAAUUUGCUUAAGUUUUAUGAAGAGGUGACAAAGGUGAUUGAUGAAGGCAGUUUGGUUGGCAUUGUUCAUAUGGACCUUAGUAAAGUGUUCAUAACAUUCCGAUUGGUAGACAGAUGUGUAAGGUUCGGUCACAUAGGAUACAGAGGAAGCUAAUCACAAUUGGCUUGAAGGAAGAGGGGCAUUUUUUAGACUGGAGGCUUGUGAGAAGCAGUGUGCUGUAAGAAUCAGUACUGAUUUCACAACAUUUCGUCAUUUAGAUGUGAAUAUUGGUACCAUAGAUAGUAAGUUUACAGAUGACAUCAGAAAAGUGGUGUAGUAGAUUAUCGCAGAGUACAACAAGACCACAGAUAGAUGGGACAAAGGGGCAAGGAGUGACAGAUGAAGUUUAAUUUAGAUAAAUAUGAGGUUACACAUUUUGGAAAGGCAAAUCAGGGCAGAAAUUAUACACUUAAUGGUAAGGUCCUGGUGAGUGUGGUGAAACAAAUGGACAUAGGGCUGCAGGUAUAUUGUUCUUUGAAAGUGGAGUCGAAUGCAGAUAGUGUGGUACAGAACACAUUUUACAAAUUUGCCUUAAUCAGUCAGAGCAUUGAGUAUAGGAGUUGUGGUGGCAUGUUGUAUCUGUACAAGAUGUUGGUGAGGCCACUUUAAGAAUACUAAAUACAAUUCGGUUGUCUGCAGAAAUGACUUACAAACAUGUUCCAGAACUGGAGGUUUGAGAUUUAGGGAGAGGUUGAUUAGUUUGAGGUGUUUCCCCCUGGAGUGUCAGAGGCAGAAGUGUGACAUUAUAGAGGUUUAUAAGAGCAUCAGGGGCAUGGAUAUUCUGAACAAUCAUGUUCUGCUCCCCAGGGUAGGGGAGGCCAGAACAGGAGAGCAUAGGUUGAAGGGGAGAGGGUGAAUGAUUUAGAAGGGACCUAAAGAUAAAUGUUUCACACAGAGAGUGGUGUGUGUACAGAAAGUGCUGUCAGAGGAAGUGUGAAGACGGUUACAAUCGCACAUUUAAAAACUAUCUGAAAGAGAAGGGAUAUUGGCCAAAUGCUGGUAAAUGGGACUGGAUCAGAUUUGAUAUCUGAUCGGACUGACGGAUCUGUUUCUAUUCUGCAUGACUGAUUCUAUAAGAGGGAUGAUGAAAAAUUCUGAAAGUACCUUUCAAAUCAGAAUCCUCUUCACUGGAAAUUUAUCAUGCCUCUAUGUUCACAUUGAUUGAAAGUUGCGUUCGUGAAAUAUUUGACAGAGAACUGAAUCAUGGAUAAUGGGACAAAGACAGGGAAAUGAGACCAGAACCUGAUCAGCUACAAUCUUAGUGCCUGGUAGAGAAGGUUCAACGUAUCUAAUGACUCACUCCUGUUCCUCAAUCCCGUAUUCCUGUGUUCCAUUCAGCCCAUUAAACCUGUUAGACAGGAGCAUUUAGAGGCUACUUACUUCUAUAACCUGGUUCACAGAAACAGAGGAGAUCAUUCGACCUUUCAACACUGCCACACACGCUUUGAGGUGAUUUGAGAAAUGUAUUUGUAAAACCCAGUCUGGGUAUGAAAGAGGCCCCUCAUCUCUCUUCACAGAGCUUCCCCGUUCUGAAACAUGUGCUCCAUUUGUUGGUCAUGUUGUCGACCCAGAUUCACUGUGAAUACAGCUCCCAUACCUCACCCAGAGAUUGCUCACAAAGUUCUCUGGUCUCCCUGACGGCAACAUUCAAUAACAGAACAUUCAUGAAAAUAACACCCACUAAUUUUCCAAUAACAGAAUGUGAGAACAUCAGACACAGGGGCAGGUCGUUAACUUCUCAAACCUGCCUUGCCCUUCACUAAGAUUGUGGCUGAUUUGCUGUUGGUCUGAAAUCCUCUUUCAUAUCCCAACUCUCUGGCAGGUCAAUAUCCAUCUACUUCCUCUUCAAAUACUUUCAGUCAUUUGGCUCCCUGAACACUCGUGAGAAGGGAAAUCCUGACAUUCAAUGCCACCUGUUUGAAGAAAACCCUCUCUGCUGCUAUAUCAUGGCUUAUUGAUAUGAACAAAAGAGGUUAACACAAGGGGUCAGGUAAAAAUGACUGGCCCUGAUAUCAAGGCAGUGGUUGACUUCUGUUGACAUCAAAGAGCUUAACAAAACUGGACUUAAUGGGAAUCAGAGAAAACUCUCCAGUAUUUGGAGUCUAACAUUGCACAGAGGAAGAUGUUCAUCAUCUCAGUCCUGGGUCACUUGUGUGCGAGAUCCUCAGGGUAAUCUCCUCUUCACAAACAGCUUCAGCUUAUUCAUCAAUGUCUCUCCGCUCCCAACCAUAAGAUCUGAAGUGGUGGUGGUCACUGAAGAUUCCACAAUGUUCAGAGCAUUUUGUCCCCCGUCAGUUCCUGAACUGGUCUGGUACCAUGUGCAGCAAGACCCAGACACCAGUCAGGUUUGUGCUGUUAACGUGUCUGUAACAUUCAUGUAACAGCACUGCCUGGUACUGCACAUUGCCACAGUAUAACAAGAGUUCAUUCAGCAGCUCACGCUGGUUUCACAGGAAUAUGAGGAAGUAUCUAGCCCAUUGACACUGUUGGAGAAGAACAGGGACAGCCCAUUCAGUGACUCAAGGAAGAGAGGGAUUCUAAUAUGAUGGGCCACACCAGAGCGCGUGGAAAAUAUUUGAAGGCGGUAGCCUAGACUCUAAUGUUUUCCUGUUUUAAAGGAAAUGGAAAGUGUCUGUUCAAGAUGCAAUGUGACUGGUCAACCAACUCGGUGCGAAGCAAAACACCAUUUACUUUAACAUGGAAGAUAAAAUGAAACCAAAGAAAGGGGAAUUUAGAACAACUUAUUUCUAUUGGACAAAUUAACAGAAUAAUAGAUAAUAAUAAUAUAUAAACUAUUACUAAUGAAUUGUUCCAGUAUAGGAAAAUCACAUAAUAACAGCCCCUGGCAAAAAGGACUAUUUAGACACAGAUUUUCACAAAGAUUUCUCCAAUUCAGGAAUUAAAAACAGCAUCAAGAGAAAAUUCAGAGAGAGUAUCAGCCAGGAGACAUCCACUGAAGCUUCCAACUCUGUGGAGACCCCAAUAGUUUCUGAUGUUACUGAGAAACCAAACCCAGAGAUCCUAAUCUGUGAGAGCUGGCCUCACCCAUUCAGGCUGCAUUAAAAUAAACCCAAGGCCUACCUAGCUGUUUACUCAAGUGGUCCUAACUAGCCAGCUUGGUAACGAUCAUUCAAUCUCUCUCUUAAAAUAAACUAGUACAAAAUAAUCUCUUAAAGCUACAGCAUCAUCACACUAGUUAGCACAUCGAGCUGUCAUACAGGAACCGGGGUAACCCAGUCAGACCCUUCUCACUGUCCAAUUGGAUGAGGAAGAAGCCAGUCAGUCCAUUAAGUCACUGACACAGCAAUAGGAUGAGGCUAUUCAUCCCCUUUGGACAAUUACCCAGGAACAGGAGGAAGCCAUUCAGCCCCUUGACCACUUAUACAGGAACAGGAGGAGGCCAUUCCCCCUCAACACACUUACACAGGGACGGAUUGAUUAAAUUGAUGCUGAUUCCUGAUGAACGGCUUGCGCCCGAAACAUCAAUUCUCCUGCUUCUCGGAUGCUGCCUGACCUGCUGUCCUUUUCCAGCAAUCGACUCUCGAAUCUGAUCUCCAGUAUCGGCAGUCCUCACUGUCUCCUAACUGAUGCUCUACCAUGAUGACCAAGUGGAGCAGAGGGUACACAGACAGACUGCUCCACGUUGUUCCUCCUGGCUCCCUUGCUUAUGAUACACACGUGGGACUUUAACAUGGUUUUCUCGCGAUGAGCAGGGAAGCCAUAUGUCUUGUGUGAAGUCUCAAGAAGGCACCUUCCAUCUCCAAGAAGCCAGCCUGGUGUUCUCUGUGUAGGGUGGAAGCUGCUGGGAAUGGCUACCUGUUUCAGAUGGAAGGUAUUGUGGCUGCUGUUAGGGAAUGUGAGCAACCUAACGUUCAGUACGGGUUCACACGCCGACUGCACAAUAACAUGGGGAGAGUUAAUUUAGGCAUAUAAACGAUUAGGAAAAUCACGUUAGACUGAUGAAUGGACUCUCUAAGUUCAAAUAAUGCUGAUCUUGUUCAUGUUGAUUUUGUCUAGUGCACGUCCUGUUCAGUGUAACCUGUAUGCCUUACUAUGUCUAAGUCCAUUUCCACCCUAUGAUCUGUCUGGCCAUGUUUACUAUGAUCUGCCUUCACUGCUCAUAAAUAAAGUGUUUCCCUGUACUAAGGUACACGUGGCAACAAAUCAAACCAA